GGGCGGAUAGCUCAAUGGUAGAGCGCCAAGCUUAUACCUUGGUGGUUCCAGGUUCGAGCCCUGGUCCGCCCA
This 72-nucleotide transfer RNA is filed under the name Candidatus Berkelbacteria bacterium. RNAcentral describes it as "tRNA-Ile". It matches the Rfam family "tRNA". Rfam says of the family: Transfer RNA (tRNA) molecules are approximately 80 nucleotides in length. Their secondary structure includes four short double-helical elements and three loops (D, anti-codon, and T loops). The record is from RNAcentral. Lineage: Bacteria; Candidatus Berkelbacteria.